RNAcentral lists this ribosomal RNA (253 nucleotides) under uncultured bacterium. RNAcentral's name for it is "partial 16S ribosomal RNA". It matches the Rfam family "Bacterial small subunit ribosomal RNA", at positions 524 to 776 of the family's 1533-position model. The record is from RNAcentral.
UACAGAGGUCCCAAGCGUUGUUCGGAUUCACUGGGCGUAAAGGGUGCGUAGGUGGUGAGGUAAGUCGGAUGUGAAAUCUCCGAGCUCAACUCGGAAAUUGCAUUGGAAACUACCUUGCUAGAGGGUUGGAGGGGGGACUGGAAUACUUGGUGUAGCAGUGAAAUGCGUAGAUAUCAAGUGGAACACCAGUGGCGAAGGCGGGUCUCUGGACAGUUCCUGACGCUGAGGCACGAAGGCCAGGGGAGCAAACGGG